GACGAACGCUGGCGGCGUGCCUAAUACAUGCAAGUAGAACGCUGAAGGAGGAGCUUGCUUCUCUGGAUGAGUUGCGAACGGGUGAGUAACGCGUAGGUAACCUGCCUGGUAGCGGGGGAUAACUAUUGGAAACGAUAGCUAAUACCGCAUAAGAGUAGAUGUCGCAUGACAUUUGCUUAAAAGGUGCAAUUGCAUCACUACCAGAUGGACCUGCGUUGUAUUAGCUAGUUGGUGAGGUAACGGCUCACCAAGGCAACGAUACAUAGCCGACCUGAGAGGGGGAUCGGCCACACUGGGACUGGGACACGGCCCAGACUCCUACGGGAGGCAGCAGUAGGGAAUCUUCGGCAAUGGACGGAAGUCUGACCGAGCAACGCCGCGUGAGUGAAGAAGGUUUUCGGAUCGUAAAGCUCUGUUGUAAGAGAAGAACGAGUGUGAGAGUGGAAAGUUCACACUGUGACGGUAUCUUACCAGAAAGGGACGGCUAACUACGUG
RNAcentral lists this ribosomal RNA (495 nucleotides) under uncultured bacterium. RNAcentral's name for it is "partial 16S ribosomal RNA". It matches the Rfam family "Bacterial small subunit ribosomal RNA", at positions 28 to 507 of the family's 1533-position model. The record is from RNAcentral.